UGGAACUAUAGGAGUGCACCACCAUGCCUGGCUAAUUUUUGUAUUUUUUAAUAGAGACGGGGUUUCACCAUGUUGACCAGGAUGGUCUCGAUCUCUUGACCU
This is a long non-coding RNA of Cebus imitator (Panamanian white-faced capuchin), 102 nucleotides long. RefSeq lists it as uncharacterized. The record is from RefSeq and is a predicted model, not a curated record. Lineage: Eukaryota; Metazoa; Chordata; Mammalia; Primates; Cebidae. The transcript is spliced from 3 exons.